CCUACGGGAGGCAGCAGUGGGGAAUUUUGGACAAUGGGCGAAAGCCUGAUCCAGCAAUGCCGCGUGCAGGAUGAAGGCCUUCGGGUUGUAAACUGCUUUUGUACGGAACGAAAAGCCCUGGGUUAAUACCCUGGGGUCAUGACGGUACCGUAAGAAUAAGCACCGGCUAACUACGUGCCAGCAGCCGCGGUAAU
This 194-nucleotide ribosomal RNA is filed under the name uncultured bacterium. Its description in RNAcentral is "partial 16S ribosomal RNA". It matches the Rfam family "Bacterial small subunit ribosomal RNA", at positions 338 to 524 of the family's 1533-position model. The record is from RNAcentral.